RNAcentral lists this long non-coding RNA (1567 nucleotides) under Drosophila guanche. Lineage: Eukaryota; Metazoa; Arthropoda; Insecta; Diptera; Drosophilidae. The record is from RNAcentral.
AGGGGAAAUCAAACGCCAAUGAAGUGACGAUGGAGUUGGCAAACACGGUCAAAUUAUCUGCUGACGCUCUUAAGUUUUGAUUGCAUCAAGUGAGAAUCUCUUUUCUAACUAAAUCUAAAAUAUAAAAUAAGGAAAGGAGCGAGUAUUCCCUGCGGUUGCAAGAGGUCUGCAAUUCCAUUAAUUUUUCCUGUGUGUGGAAAGUGUUCGAAGUUAAAGGUUGAAAUGGGCGCCAGAAAUGGAAGCAAUUUGAAUGUCAUUAGGCGGAGCAGCAUCCCAAGACAAUCAAAAAAUCCACGCAUGGAGACACGGAAGCAGGAAACCGGAUGCUGAAUGCCGAAUGCCAAAUGCCGAAUCCGAAACCGAUGACAACACCGAAAAAACAAACGCAAGAGGCAGAGAAAAUAAAGAAAGGUAUAAAUAAAACUUCAUAUCUGAUUGAAUAAUAAUGUGUGCUUAAGGAUUUAAUGCGCUGCCGGCAGCUGCUCGAGGCCCCAGGACGACUCUCUGGGAAGCUCCCAAUGGGGGAAAAAACAACGACGACAACAAAAUGUUAAAUUACAAUACCAUGAACGGCAGAGAAAGGCGACACACGGCCAGUGGGGAAUUUUGUUUGCCUCGAUGCUGAUUGCCAAAAAAAGAACGAAUAAAAAUAAAACAACACGAAAAAGGAAGAGAACAGAAAGCAUACAACAGAAAGCAGGCCAGAUCCUGGCUAGCAGGGGCAAACAAUUGAAUUUCCUUAUAGCACGUUUUCAAAUUAACCCAGCAGCCCAGCCCAAACCCCAAUAUGCAUAUGUGGGUUCCCUGGGUUCCUGGUCCUGGUCGUGGCCCCACGGGGAUUGGGUGUCAAGCUUAUUUGAAUUUCAAAUACAAUUUCGUGUUGGUACCCUUUGCGAAACUAUCAUCAUUAGCAGCACAUUUAGGCAGACAGCACCAGCCGCAAACUUAUCCUUUUGGCAAAGGAAGAAUCCGGUACUUACUGUAUAAUAGGACGAUGAUUAUAACUAAGAAAUAAAGCAACUACUUCCAUUUGCUUCCUAUGAAAAGUCGGACUUAAUCGUUUAUGCUACAGGAAUUUUGUACAUGCAUUUGGAAAAUAAAAGUCAUAAUCGCAGCUUUGCUUCAAGCAAUCAAUUCAAUGAGAUGCCAAACUGCAGCAACAACCACAAAGCCAAAUGACACUGAAUGGAAAACACAAUUGCUAAUAGGAAUAAACGAAAUUAAUGUUAAUAUUUGCAGCAAAGGAGUGCUUCAAGACAUACUUGGGUCUGGGCACAUUUUUUUCGAAUUCUCCCAGCAUAUUGGGAGAGGGCUGGUAGCGUGCCACAACGUAAUUGACACCAGAUUUGGUUUCCUUACCUAUCCCCAUUUUGGUGGAGGCCUUCCACACGAGGGCCGUGAAGUGACCGGUUUCUAAAGAGAAACCUGGCAUAUUGAAAUCGUAUUGGGAUAUUUCAUCAUACCACAUUUUUACACAAGAAGUCGCCUCAUCCCCGGUGUAGCAUAAGUUCUCACCAAACCCUUUUUGUUUCGAGUGCUCCAAUGUACCCCUUGCGGCCAAUAUCUG